AGUAACACGUAUCCAACCUGCCGUCUACUCUUGACAGCCUUCUGUAAGGAAGAUUAAUACAAGAUGGCAUCAUGAGUCCGCAUGUUCACAUGAUUAAAGGUAUUCCGGUAGACGAUGGGGAGUGCGUUCCAUUAGAUAGUAGGCGGGGUAACGGCCCACCUAGUCUUCGAUGGAUAGGGGUUCUGAGAGGAAGGUCCCCCACAUUGGAACUGAGACACGGUCCAAACUCCUACGGGAGGCAGCAUG
RNAcentral lists this ribosomal RNA (246 nucleotides) under uncultured bacterium. RNAcentral's name for it is "partial 16S ribosomal RNA". It matches the Rfam family "Bacterial small subunit ribosomal RNA", at positions 109 to 353 of the family's 1533-position model. The record is from RNAcentral.